RNAcentral lists this transfer RNA (59 nucleotides) under Apaloderma vittatum (bar-tailed trogon). It matches the Rfam family "tRNA", at positions 8 to 63 of the family's 71-position model. From Rfam's summary of the family: Transfer RNA (tRNA) molecules are approximately 80 nucleotides in length. Their secondary structure includes four short double-helical elements and three loops (D, anti-codon, and T loops). Further hydrogen bonds mediate the characteristic L-shaped molecular structure. tRNAs have two regions of fundamental functional importance: the anti-codon, which is responsible for specific mRNA codon recognition, and the 3' end, to which the tRNAs corresponding amino acid is attached (by aminoacyl-tRNA synthetases). tRNAs cope with the degeneracy of the genetic code in two manners: having more than one tRNA (with a specific anti-codon) for a particular amino acid; and 'wobble' base-pairing, i.e. permitting non-standard base-pairing at the 3rd anti-codon position. Lineage: Eukaryota; Metazoa; Chordata; Aves; Trogoniformes; Trogonidae. The record is from Rfam by way of RNAcentral.
UAGCUCACUCAGUCAGAGCGUGGUGCUGAUAACACCAAGGUCCUGGGUUCAAUCCCCAU